RNAcentral lists this ribosomal RNA (253 nucleotides) under uncultured bacterium. RNAcentral's name for it is "partial 16S ribosomal RNA". It matches the Rfam family "Bacterial small subunit ribosomal RNA", at positions 524 to 776 of the family's 1533-position model. The record is from RNAcentral.
UACAGAGACCUCAAGCGUUAUCCGGAUUUACUGGGCGUAAAGGGUCCGCAGGUGGUUUGGGAAGUCAUUUGUUAAAUCCCAGAGCUUAACUCUGGAACCGCAGAUGAUACUCUCAGACUAGAGGCUGGGAGAGGUAUACGGAACUACUAGUGUAGCGGUAAAAUGCGUUAAUAUUAGUAGGAACACCAAAGGCGAAGGCAGUAUACUGGAACAGUCCUGACACUCAGGGACGAAAGCGUGGGGAGCGAAUAGG